This 75-nucleotide transfer RNA is filed under the name Helicobacter sp. CLO-3. Its description in RNAcentral is "tRNA-Thr". It matches the Rfam family "tRNA". From Rfam's summary of the family: Transfer RNA (tRNA) molecules are approximately 80 nucleotides in length. Their secondary structure includes four short double-helical elements and three loops (D, anti-codon, and T loops). The record is from RNAcentral. RNAcentral also lists the same sequence under 49 other names. Lineage: Bacteria; Pseudomonadati; Campylobacterota; Epsilonproteobacteria; Campylobacterales; Helicobacteraceae.
GCCCAUAUAGCUCAGUGGCAGAGCACUUCCUUGGUAAGGAAGAGGUCGGCGGUUCAAUCCCGCUUAUGGGCUCCA